UCAAAGGUGUACGCACGCCAUUUUGCUUGAACUUUCAGUAUUCACAAAAUGAAAGUUCUGCGAAGAGGGACACAGUCACGAGGUUUAGGAUUGGUCUGACUUGGACGACGACGACUACUUGGGACCGAGUCUUAUAUAUGCCAUAGCUUGGAGCUUCAUCUACAAACACACGCAAGCACUGGCCUCGUAGAUUUUGCAGAUCAUCAGAGACUGAAGACUAAACACAACACUUAUUGGCCUCAACUUUAUUUGAUUCAUCCUUCAGAUUCCGAAUCCUUGCAAUGGUGCUUGAUGCUGAUGGAGUUGGGUGUUCUUCAAGCUCUUGUGGAUCAACUAAGAGACAGAAGUAUGAUGCAUUCUUGACUAAGAAGCAUCGAUACGGGUACAAGUAUUAGGCACGAUACAAUACGAUACGUGGGCAUAGUAAUUUUUCAAAAUUUUAGGAUACGAGUACGGCUAUAUAAAUAAUUAAAUAUUAAAUAUUUGGAUGUCUAAAAAUACAAUUUCAAGAUGUCUAAUACCAUCACAAAAUAUAACACAAUAAGUAGUUAAGCACUUAAAUACUACCAAGUGGCAAAAGAUAAUUAUCAAUUUAAAGUAAUUCUAAUCUUCCCCAUAUUCAUUGACACCACCACUUUCUCCUAUAAGUUCUCUCUCCAAAUUAGCUUAUCUAGAGAUAAAAUUGCAACUUCAAGAUUUUUACAAUCAUCUAUUUCCAACAAUCUCCACUAAUAUCCCACAAUCUACUUUCUCCAGUGGAAUACUUUUCACUCUUUCUUAAAAGAAGACAAAGAUUUGAAUGAACAAAAACUAAAUUUUCUGCUCUUUUUGAAAGCAUCUUGUUUCUCUUCAGUGAAUGAACAAAAGAGUAAGUGCUCCAAUUUCUUUCACAACAAGAUGAUGAGCAUGGUUAAUUGAGAAGUUUCAAUGCAGUCUCUUGAAGUUUAGGAGCAUCAGCACCAUGAUUGCUCUACCAAACUUUAGGCUCUAAUGUCCAUCUAUCUUGCAUGGAAUCAACAAAAGAGAACUCAUCUGAAUAUCCAUAAAACUUUAAAAAUUCAUUCAUAACCAAUUUCCUCUCUUCUUCAUCUAGAAACAUCCUUAUAAAGCACUUUUUCCUCUCAGUUGAUAUUUCAACAUCUCUAUGUGAAGAGACUCUAUUUGGUCCACCUUCAAGCCAUUGUGUUGUAUAAUAUCUACAAUAAUAUAAUAACAUCAAUUGGAGUUGUGAUGUAAAAAUGGUAAAGAAAAGAAUUUCAUGAUAAAAAAUAAGAAUAACAACUUCAUAAAAUGAAGAGUACUUAGAAAGUGAUCUUCUUUCAUGCUUAUAUAUUGAUUCCUUGAUUUGCUCUAUCAUUGAAUCCCACAUCUCAUAAAUCAAAUGAAGUGUGGGUCUAUUUGUGCCAACAAAUCUCAACAUAUCAUAAAUUGAUUUAGUAAAAGAGAGAAUAUAAUCAACCUUCUCCUACUAAAGAUCAUUAAAAAUUAUGUCUUUCACAUUAGCAGCCUUUCCAACAUCAUCAUCUCUAUAAGCAUUCCAUUCUUCACUAAUAACCAGUGUAUGAAGAGAAGUUUUGAUAAGUUUGAAUCUCUUCAACAUCACAAUUGUUGAUGCAAAUCUUGUUUCGACUAUUGCAAGAAACUUUAAUGGCAUAAAUUUAUUAAACAUGGCCAAUCUCAUAGAAUGAUUCAUGAUAAAUGUUCAGAUGAAGACUGCAUCAUCUGUCACCUCAAUGAUCCAACGACAUUCUCCAUAAAAAAUUUCAUUUGCCUUUGUAUUUUUUGCUACACAUAUUCUUCAAAGCAAGAUUAAGUGUAUGCACCACACAUGGUGUCCAAAAGAUGUGAGAAUAUUCAUCUUCCACCAUCUUAUCAAUAGAUUUACAAACAGGUGCAUUAUCAGUGAUUACUUGAACAAUUUUAUGAGGCCCCACUUCUUCAACCACUUUCUUUAUCAAGUCAGCCAUGUAAAAUCUAUCUUUAUACUCACUAGUUGCAUCAAUUACCUUCAAAAACAUGGGACUUCCAUCACUUAUAGCCAUGAAAUUAAUUAAUAGCCUUCUUUGUACAUUUAACCAACCAUCUGUAACUAUACUUACCCCCUUAUAAUUCCAAGUCCCUUUGAUUGAUUCAAGUUGCCUUUCAACAUUGGCCCUUUCUUUUUGCAACAAAGUGGAUCUUAGUACAUUAUAACCAGGAGGUUUAAAACUAGGAAUUACAUUAUUGGUAGCAUAUUGAAAUGCACUAAUAAAAUAUGGGUUAGUGCUAAAUUGAAAGACAAGCCAGCCAAAUAAAACAUUCUAGAAAUUUCAAUAGUUAAAUAAUCUCUAGCUCCUUCCUUGUUGGAAAGCUCUUUCUAUUGUAUUUGUUGCCCUCCUUUUUCCCUAAUUGUGUUGACUUUGAAUAGGGGUAGAACCCCUUUGACAUAAAGGGGACAAGCUCUGAGUUGGAGUUGGUAAUGGCACAUGUCUUGGUUUUGUUCUAUUCUCAGCCUCCUCUUGAGCUUUUUACAUUUCACCUAAAAUUAUCAACUUUCGGACAUAUAGUAAUACCCUUUUCAGAGAUCCUCAACAAAUAAAAUUUAAUUCUAGAAUAAGAGCCAUUAUAUUGGUUAUUACAAUAGUUACACUUUCAACUUCUAUUCCCACUUUCCCCUUCAUUUUCUUGAGGAACCAAAGUUACAUAAGCCCAUAAAGGAGUACUCUUUUUCUGUCUUUCAUUAUUACUGAGAAUUCACAUUUCUUGAACUACUAUCAGGUCUAGAAUUAGAAGCCAUUAUAGAUUUAAUUUCUAUUGAAAAAUUGUAAACAAUUUCCUUCAAUUUUAACAUGAAGAGAGCUAAUAAAAAUUUAAAAUAAAUCAAUGUUUGACUCAGCAAAAUAAUCCAUCUAAAUAAAAAAAAUUAAAUCAAUAAUUCAGCAUUAAAUUGGGAAAACUGAUCAGGUAGCUCUGCCUCUCUUGGUUCAGCAAUGAAGCAUUGAGCAAUACAUAUCCAACAGUAAUACCAACCAGGAGAUAGAGAGCAAUAAAUAUCUAGCAUUGAGCAUUAAGGAAUAAAAGAAGUGAAGAGAUAAAGAGCCUCAGGUGGAGCUCAAACGGCAAAGAUGAACUUACCAAGACUGGAGAUUGAAGACUGAAGACUGAAGAGAUAGAGAUGCUAAGGCAGAGUUCAGACGUGAGGCAGCGAGUGAAGUGAAAAGUGAAAACGCGAAUAGGUCGACUAAAGAAGCACUGUUGAAGAAGGACGACGGUCAAUGAGGCACCAAGCGAUAGAGCAGCAAACAUGAGAAAGGGGUCAAGUUUUUGGAGUUGGAAAGGAGCUAUACCAAUUUUCUAGAGUUGGAAACGUGACAAAGAAGCUGGAAAUCUUAGGGCAUCGACUUUCUGGAGUUGGGAUUGAGUAAAAAGAAGUGAAAAAUGUAGAGUUUUGUAUCUGCUCGUGUUCGCACAUCUCAUCUCCCGUUCACCCGUGUCCGUCGGAAACUGGGAAAAAGGAUGCACCGUUUCUACAUCCUAAAAGCGUGUCUGUAUUGGAUACAUAUCCAACACGGACACGCUGGCCAUUUUCACGUAUUGAUGCUUCUGAGGAUUUUGAAUUGUGUUGUGAAAUUAGGCAAAUAACAUUGUCAUGUUUUGUGCUACAUGUUUGUUCUAUAGUUACAUGUUCUCUUGCCCUUAGUGAGAAUUUCUUGUUGCGUAACAUAUGAAUGUGACCCUUCCUAAUGAUGAUAAUUUGUCUUUUUUUUUUCCUUUUAA
Molecule: long non-coding RNA, 3756 nt
Organism: Prosopis cineraria
Lineage: Eukaryota; Viridiplantae; Streptophyta; Magnoliopsida; Fabales; Fabaceae
Exons: 2
Source: RefSeq, a predicted model, not a curated record